RNAcentral lists this ribosomal RNA (718 nucleotides) under Acinetobacter sp. CD06. RNAcentral's name for it is "bacterial SSU rRNA". It matches the Rfam family "Bacterial small subunit ribosomal RNA", at positions 804 to 1532 of the family's 1533-position model. The record is from RNAcentral. Lineage: Bacteria; Pseudomonadati; Pseudomonadota; Gammaproteobacteria; Moraxellales; Moraxellaceae.
AAACGAUGUUACUAGCGUUGGGCCUUGAGCUUUAGUGCGCACUAACGCGAUAAGUAGACCGCCUGGGGAGUACGUCGCAAGACUAAACUCAAAUGAUUGACGGGGGCCCGCACAAGCGGUGGAGCAUGUGGUUUAAUUCGAUGCAACGCGAAGAACCUUACCUGGCCUUGACAUACAGAGAACUUUCCAGAGAUGGAUUGGUGCCUUCGGGAACUCUGAUACAGGUGCUGCAUGGCUGUCGUCAGCUCGUGUCGUGAGAUGUUGGGUUAAGUCCCGCAACGAGCGCAACCCUUUUCCUUAUUUGCCAGCACUUCGGGUGGGAACUUUAAGGAUACUGCCAGUGACAAACUGGAGGAAGGCGGGGACGACGUCAAGUCAUCAUGGCCCUUACGGCCAGGGCUACACACGUGCUACAAUGGUCGGUACAAAGGGUUGCUACACAGCGAUGUGAUGCUAAUCUCAAAAAGCCGAUCGUAGUCCGGAUUGGAGUCUGCAACUCGACUCAUGAAGUCGGAAUCGAUAGUAAUCGCGGAUCAGAAUGCCGCGGUGAAUACGUUCCCGGGCCUUGUACACACCGCCCGUCACACCAUGGGAGUUUGUUGCACCAGAAGUAGGUAGUCUAACCGCAAGGAGGACGCUUACCACGGUGUGGCCGAUGAGCUGGGGUGAAGUCGUAACAAGGUAGCCGUAGGGGAACCUGCGGCUGGAACACCUCCUU